RNAcentral lists this long non-coding RNA (7522 nucleotides) under Salmo salar (Atlantic salmon). Its description in RNAcentral is "lncRNA (ENSSSAG00000084307.1)". The record is from RNAcentral. Lineage: Eukaryota; Metazoa; Chordata; Actinopteri; Salmoniformes; Salmonidae.
GCGAAAUUUAAAAAGGCAGGCGCAAGCAAAGAAAAUAACGGUUUUCUCUCAGUUUGUACUUUGCAGCAGAAGCAAAAUAUCACCAAACAUGUAUGCAGUUGUGGAUUUUUUUGAAGAAGGGACAUCAGAAAUUGUUCCAGUGGAAAAUAUUGAAGUUUGAUGGGACGUGCGACAAUUUGAAAGAAUGUAUUGCUAUUUGGCAGCGCACGGGGAAGAGAUAUCCUGCCUACAUCAUAGCUCUGGAUGGGCUCGUUCAGAAGUACUCCUCAUUGAGAGACCACAGGGAUAUGUCUCGAGGACACUGCAGCCAUUUUGCUCCUCCUCUACAUCCUUCAAGAAUAUCCAAAUGGACUGUACGUCACAGACAUGUGUGUAAAGUUCCCAUCACCUACAAUAAGAAUAGAUGGGAAUCCCUUUUGCGUCAAAGUCUUCCUUGAUGGAGAGGAGUAUCUCACUGAAGAGCCUGAGGACAUCUCCAUGGGAUUGGGAGUGUCGAUGGGGUUCCAUUUCCUUUUCAAUAUUUAGUAUGCAGCAUCAGUGAAAAGCACUAUGCUGUGCAUUCAGAAAUGUGUUGUGGGAAUUGAUGAGGGGGGUAAAUUACCAACAAAUGUUGAAUGGCAAACUUUUUGCUGCAAGAGUGAUAUGGGAGACCAGAGCACAAAGUUACACAUGGUGAGUUGUACCAGCCAAAAUUACUCCAAUUAGAAACCACUUAGAAAGCUGUUAUUCGAUGUGCUAAUGAUUUGUUAGUGUCUCUACAUGCCUUUUAGUUUUAUUAUUGACCUGUGAAAUAUUUUUCAUUUAUCUAAACAUAUAAUUUUUAUCAGUAAGAUGGGGUCUUUUGAUUGGUAUAGUUGAAGUCAAUAAUUAUUGUGUUUUUGUUUAUCGAUUGCAUAUUUGGAUUUCUGAAACUUUCAUAGUCAAUCAAAUUAAUUUGUGUCUUUACAGGUUUGCCACUCAAUGUUUUUUAUUUAUUUAUUUCACCUUUAUUUAACCAGGUAGGCCAGUUGAGAACAAGUUCUCAUUUACAACUGCGACCUGGCCAAGAUAACCCUAGAGGUUAGGUGGGACGUUAGCGUCCCACUCUAUUCAACAGCCAGUGGAAGAGCGUGGCGCGAACUACAAAAACCUCAAAAAUGCUAUAAUUUCACUAUUUCAAACAUACGACAAUUUUACACCAUUUGAAAGAUAAGACUCUCGUUAAUCUAACCACAUUGUCCGAUUUCAAAAAGGCUUUACAGCGAAAACAAAACAUUAGAUUAUGUUAGGAGCGUACAUAGACACAAAUAACCACACAGCCAUUUUUCAAGCAAGCAUAUAUGUCACAAAAACCCAAAACACAGCUAAAUGCAGCACUAUCCUUUGAUGAUCUUCAUCAGAUGACACUCCUAGGACAUUAUGUUAUACAAUACAUGCAUGUUUUGUUCAAUCAAGUUCAUAUUUAUAUCAAAAAAACAGCUUUUUACAUUGGCGUGGGAUGUUCAGAAAUUGUAUUCCCACCGAAAACUUCCGGUGAAUUUACUAAAUUACUCAUGAUAAACGUUGACAAAAUACAUAACAAUUAUUUUAAGAAUUAUAGAUACAGAACUCCUUUAUGCAAUCGCUAUGUCCGAUUUUAAAAUAGCUUUUCGGCGAAAGCACAUUUUGCAAUAUUCUGAGUACAUAGCUCAGCCAUCACGGCUAGCUAAUUUGACACCCGCCAAGUUCGGGGCUCACUAAACUCAGAAUUAGUAUUAGAAAAAUUGGAUUACCUUUGCUGUUCUUCGUCAGAAUGCACUCCCAGGACUGCUACUUCCACAACAAAUGUUGUUUUUGUUCCAAAUAAUCCAUAGUUCUGUGCAAAUACCUCCAUUUUGUUAGUGCGUUCAGGUCACUAUCCAAAGGGUAACGCGCGAGCAUAUUUCGAGACAAAAUAUUUCAAAAUGUUCCAUUACCGUACUUAGAAGCAUGUCAAACGCUGUUUAAAAUCAAUUUUUAAUGGUAUUUUUCUCGUAAAAUAGCGAUAAUAUUCCAACCGGACAAUGCUGUAUUCAUUCAAAAAGGAAGAGAUGACAAGGUCUCGUGACCGCGCAUUUCCAAUCUCUUAGUCACUAGCCAGUCCACUGACAAACUGUGCUCCUGUUAUCUGCCCAGAGACAGGAGACGCCUCAAUCCGCUUUCUGAACGCUUUAGAGAGCCAAUGGAAGCCUUAGAAAGUGCUACAUAACCCCACGGGCACUGUAGUUUCGAUAGAGAAGCAAAUGGAGAACUACAAAUUCGCAGACAGGCCACUUCCUGCUUGGAAUUCUCUCAGGUUUUUGCCUGCCAUAUGAGUUCUGUUAUACUCACAGACACCAUUCAAACAGUUUUAGAAACUUCAGUGUUUUCUAUCCAAAUCUACUAAUAAUCUUCUAAUAAUAUUAAUAAUACGCAUAUUCUCGUUUCUGGGAAAGAGUAGUAAUCAGUUUAAAUCGGGUACAUUUUUUAUCCGGCCGUGAAAAUACUGCCCCCUAGCCCAGACAGGAUAAAGCAAAGCAGUGCGAAAAAAACAACACAGAGUAACACAUGGGAUAAACAAACGUACAGUCAAUAACACAAUAUAAAAAGUUCAACUGUUGGAGUCAGUUGGAGUGCUGGUGCGCACUGCCUUUGUAUCACAGGCUUGCAGAAGCUUAAGCUUAAUAAUAGACCCACCAAACCUUCAUAGAAGUUUCCAAACUUGAUUAGGGUGAUAUCAAAAGUAAGUCAAACCACAGGGAAUAUAGGAGCAGGCUAUUAUAUUGCAGUUGGAACUUAAUUUGGCCAAAGAAAAUGGCUCAACAGAAUGAAAUAUGGUUUAAACCUUCACAAAAGUUCUGAGCAGGCUAUAUUGCAGCAAUUAUCAACAAAGGCAGGUGCCUGCCCUACUCAACAAAUGACAGAAAUAGGCCUACUUAUCUUAAACAAAAUAUGAAUCACACAAUUAAAAAGACAGAUCGAAUUGAAUUUAGCCAGGGGCGUAACUGUCGCUGGGGACGGACGAGACAUCACCCCCCCACGUUCUGAAAUAUAAUUUUUGUCCCCCCCAGUUUUAUCAUUGCACUGUAAUACACGGCAAUGGUGUGCUUUAGGACCAUGCAGACACCUCAGAGCGGUUGGGUAGGCCGUUUUGUGGUUUCAGUUGGCUGGAUUUAGGACCGCAUAGACAUCACUGAGUGUGCGGACAGGCUGUGUGAAGGCAAAGCUGCUGAAAGGCUAGCGUAUAGGACCAGCAUGGGAGAGAUGCUGUCUGGGUGUGUUGCGCAAGUUGUAAAGGCAAGCAGGGCAGAAACUGGCUACGGAAGUAGCUGGCAAGGUAACUGCUGUUUGACAGAAGAAGCUAAAACAUUUAUUCCCAGUGCUGAGCUAGUAGUGUAACUGACAUGUAACGUUAGCUAAUGUUUCAUCCUCUCUCGACUGAAGUGAAUAAACUACUAGCAGCUAGUUGGCUAGCUAGUAGCUACCAAAGCCAGUUCAGCUCUAGCUAGCUAUCUGUCAGGUAGCGUAUCUAACAGCUGUUGUUUGUAUGGAAAUGUUUUGUAGCCUUUGUUAAUAAAGUACAUUUCAUGAUGUAUCAUUAGCUAGAGUUAGCCAAAAGUUGGCUAACGUUAGCUAGCUAGCUACCUAACUUUGGCUAUUAUUUUUUCCUCAAUCACACUAUACCUGAUUCAAAUGAUUAAACCAGCGGCCAAACGAUUGAAGACCAAUAUUCUGAUGUUUUUUCAGCGCAAUGUGAGUUAUUAGUCAGUAUAGCAAUGUAACGUUAUUGAUCUGUCAGUUUCCCUAGCUAAUUCCCUACUUUUCACACUGACACGGUAUAAACAGCUCUACAGGCUUCACUGUCAUGGUGCGCAGUCAGUAUACAAGAUUAUUCUAAUCAUGUCUCAGCAGGAUCAGAUGGUAACAGGUGUCGCUGCAGCAUCAGACAGGCAGGGAAGUCCCGUCUAUGGAGCUCAGGAUCAGAUGGUGACGGGUCUCAGCAGGGUCAGGCAGCCAGGGAAGGCCUGUCUGUGACAGCGCAGAGGUGAACCUUUGCAGAUACAACACUUUAUUCUCUCUGUGCAGCAAUUACUGGACAAGCAAGAAGCUUCAAAGAUUGAAACUAUUUUGAAGGCAGUCUGACAACCUCUAAAGUUUAUUUCCAAACUAUAUCAAGGGUUGAUAGGCUUUUCCUGAUGACACAAAACAUAUAAGAACAAAAAUAUAAGGAAGACCUGGUAGAUGCUAUUGAUUAUGAUGAAUGGAUACAGAUGUUAGAAUGCCCAGUCAUGUUCAUAUCAUCUCAGAUAUAAAUUACUGCCGUUUAAGACCAUCCAUAGAACAUACUAUAUGCCAGUGAAACUGAAUGUCAUGCACUCAGAAAUGUAAUUCUUCUGCUGGCUGAAUUCUGGCAAAGACUAUGUUCUUUUAUCUCAGCAUGUCUACAGAUUCUCCCUUCUUCCUGUUUCUGUUUGCUUGGAAAUGUUGAUACUGGAGACUUAUCUGAAGAAACUGUAACCUAGCAUUUAUAGCGGCUAAGAAAUAGAGUGCCAUUAAUUGGAAGGUUGGUUAUCCUCCAACAAUGGAUGGAAGAAAUGUCAAGUUAUGCAUCACUAGAUUUAAUUUAUUACAACAUUAAGGGUAUACUGUGCAACUUUCAUAAGGUGUGGAUGCCUUAUAUGGAAUACUGUACAACAAAAGGAGUCUUGAAAACAUCUCCAUGUCAGGGGAGAAACCUAUUUAGGCAAUCCCUAGCUGCUGGGCAGCUCAGUCCUGGCCCUGGGGGUCUGCCAUAUUGUUGGUGGUCACUUUGGCCUUCGCCUAACACACCUGAAACCAAUGACGACUGUUUUACCAAGAUCCUAAAGCUGACGGGGUGUGUUGGGGCGCUGCAGGGUGGGGUGACCCAGCUACAUUGUGUGAGAGUAAAAAGAGCUCUACAGUACUAAUACGCCUAUGAAUUAUGGGGAUACCUAGUCAGUUGUACAACUGAAUGCCUUCAACUGAAAUUUGUCUUCCACAUUUAACCCAACCCCUCUGAAUCAGAGAGGUGCGGAGGGCUGCCUUAAUUGACAUCCACAUCUUUGGCACCCGGGGAACAGUGGGUUAUCUGCCUUGCUCGGGCAGCACAACUGAUUUUUACCUUGUCAGCUCAGGGAUUCGAUCCAACAACCUUUCGAUUACUGGCCCUACACUCUAGCCACUAGGCUACCUGCCACUAUUCCUAUAUGGAGGAUGUACUGUUUCUGUGUGUUUAUACAUUGGUGUGUGUGUUUUUAUGAAACUUUGUUUUCAAAACUUUUCCCUUGAAAAAUACAAAAAAAAGAUGGGAAGGAAAUUGUGUUGGGGAGAGAGUUGAGUUAUUGACUAGACUGGUGGGGGUCUGGUGUGCAGGCGGCUCGGGCUGGCUGGGCGGUCUGGCUGAAAUUUUAUAGAGGAUGUCUUAAUAAAGACAAUCAAAAGUUAUGUCUUUGCAUUUUAUUUUUAAGAGUUGUUCAUUUGUUAGGCUAUUGGUUAAAGGUGCAACACAAUAUUGAUUAUUGCAUUAUCAUUGAUCUGGUUCAGUCUUAUCAAUCACGUAAACCAACACAAUCUCACACAAAAUUUGUGCAAAUAUGUACAAAACUUAUUUCAGCAGAUUUUGUGUGAAAAUACAAACAUUUUUGUGCAACUUCAUUCGUAGGGAAAAACUUCUGAACAAUCUGUUGAAAGUUAUUGGUGCAUUGCAUUUUGGGCAAUGGUGUUCUACAGUGCCUUUUUUUGUGUCCCACAUUUAUUUAUACAAAAAAAAAAAAAACAUAUUGUUAAUCGACCGAAAUACUCAUAAUAGUAGCCUUACGUUGUUUUUUUACUUGUAUUUAUGCCAAUGCUGUUUUCUAUGCUUGUUUUCGCUUAAUCAUUUGGGAUGCUGGUGCUAUGUCGGAUGUUAUAAGGGUUGCCAGAUUGGAGUAAAUAUCUGUAUUUGUCUUUUUUUGAAGUAUUGAUGAAGGUAUUUGAUUGGGGGAUACAUUUUCAUGAUGGGAAAUUCAUUCAUGAAUAAAUGUGCGGAAACAGAAGACCUGCAAAAAAAAAUCUGUUUAGUUUAAAUUCCCCUGGUGCAACUGCAUGGUAUUUGCAACUAUAAUGUGUCUGGACCAUGAAGAAUUACAGUUGUAUGAAAAAGUUUGGGCACCCCUAACAAUUUCCAUUUAUAAAUAAUUGGGUGUUUGGAUCAGCAAUUUCAUUUUGAUCUAUCAAAUAACUGAUGGGCACAGUAAUAUUUGAGUAGUGAAAUUAGGUUUAUUGGACUAACAGAAAAUGUGCAAUAUGCAUCAAAACAAAAUUAGACAGGUGUAUAAAUUUGGGCACCCCAAUAUAAAAAUCACAUCAAUAUUUACUAGAGCCUCCUUUUGCUAAAAUAACAGCCUCUAGACGCUUCCUAUAGCCUCUAAUGAGUGUCUGGAUUCUGGAUGAAGGUAUUUUGGACCAUUCCUCCUUACAAAACAUCUCCAGUUCAGUUAGGUUUGAUGGUUGCCGAGCAUGGACAGCCCGCUUCAAAUCAUCCCACAGAUUCUCAAUGAUAUUCAGGUCUGGGAUGGCCAUUACAGAACAUUGUACUUGUUCCUCUGCAUAAAUUCCCGGGUAGAUUUUGAGCAGUGUUUUGGGUCGUUGUCUUGUUGAAGUAUUCCCAAGAAUCUGCUGAUAUUGAGUGGAAUCCAUGCGACCCUCAACUUUAACAAGAUUCCCAGUACCGGCACUGGCCACACAGCAUGAUGGAACCCCCACCAAAUUUUACUAUGGGUAGCAAGUGUUUUUCUUGGAAAGCUGUGUUCUUUUCCCGCCAUGCAUAACAUCCCUUGUUAUGACCAAAUAACUCAAUCUUUAUUUCAUCAGUCCACAGCACCUUAUUCCAAAAUGAAGCUGGCUUGUCCAAAUCUGCGUUUGCAUACCACAAGCGACUCUGUUUGUGGCGUGUAUGCAGAAAAGGCUUCUUCCGCAUCACUCUCCCAUACAGCUUCUCCUUGUGCAAAGUGCGCUGAAUUGUUGAACGAUGCACAGUGACACCAUCUGCAGCAAGAUGAUGUUGUAGGUCUUUGGAGGUGGUCUGUGGGCGGUUUUUCUCACCAUCCUUUGCCUCUCCGAUAUUUUACUUGGCCUGCCACUUCUGGCAUUAACAAGAACUGUGCCUGUGGUCUUCCAUUUCCUCACUAUGUUCCUCACAAUGGACACUGACAGCUUACAUCUCUGCGAUAGCUUUUUGUAGCCUUCCUCUAAACCACAAUGUUGAACAAUCUUUGUUUUCAGAUCAUUUGAGAGUUGUUUUGAGGCCCCCCAUGUUGCCACUCUUCAGAGGAGAGUCAAAGAGAACAACAACUUGCAAUUGGCCACCUUAAAUACCUUUUCUCAUGAUUGGAUGCACUUGUCUAUGAAGUUCAAGGCUUAAUGAGCUCACCAAACCAAUUGUGUGUUCCAAUUAAACAGUGCUAAGUAGUUACAGGUAUUCAAAUCAACAGAAUGACAAGGGUGCCCACAUUUUUGCAUAGCCUAUUUUUCACAUCUGAUUUAA